UACGAAGGGGGCUAGCGUUGCUCGGAAGCACUGGGCGUAAAGCGCACGUAGGCGGAUUGCUAAGUCAGGGGUGAAAUCCUGGAGCUCAACUCCAGAACUGCCUUUGAUACUGGCGACCUUGAGUCCGGGAGAGGUGAGUGGAACUGCGAGUGUAGAGGUGAAAUUCGUAGAUAUUCGCAAGAACACCAGUGGCGAAGGCGGCUCACUGGCCCGGUACUGACGCUGAGGUGCGAAAGCGUGGGGAGCAAACAGG
This 253-nucleotide ribosomal RNA is filed under the name uncultured bacterium. RNAcentral describes it as "partial 16S ribosomal RNA". It matches the Rfam family "Bacterial small subunit ribosomal RNA", at positions 524 to 776 of the family's 1533-position model. The record is from RNAcentral.